Molecule: transfer RNA, 72 nt
Filed under: Candidatus Wildermuthbacteria bacterium RIFCSPHIGHO2_01_FULL_49_22b
Lineage: Bacteria; Candidatus Wildermuthiibacteriota
Description: tRNA-Arg
Rfam family: tRNA
About the family: Transfer RNA (tRNA) molecules are approximately 80 nucleotides in length. Their secondary structure includes four short double-helical elements and three loops (D, anti-codon, and T loops). Further hydrogen bonds mediate the characteristic L-shaped molecular structure. tRNAs have two regions of fundamental functional importance: the anti-codon, which is responsible for specific mRNA codon recognition, and the 3' end, to which the tRNAs corresponding amino acid is attached (by aminoacyl-tRNA synthetases). tRNAs cope with the degeneracy of the genetic code in two manners: having more than one tRNA (with a specific anti-codon) for a particular amino acid; and 'wobble' base-pairing, i.e. permitting non-standard base-pairing at the 3rd anti-codon position.
Source: RNAcentral
GUCCCCAUAGCUCAGCGGAUAGAGUGCGGCCCUGCGGAGGCCGAGACGGAGGUUCAAUUCCUCCUGGGGACA